GACGAACGCUGGCGGCGUGCCUAACACAUGCAAGUCGAGCGAAGUGAGUACUACGGUACGAACUUAGCGGCGGACGGGUGAGUAACGCGUGGACAAUCUACCCUGUAGACUGGGAUAACACCUCGAAAGGGGUGCUAAUACCGGAUAAUGUCGAGAAGCGGCAUCGCUUUUCGAAGAAAGGAGAGAAUCCGCUAUAGGAGGAGUCCGCGUCCCAUUAGCUAGUUGGUGAGGGUAACGGCCCACCAAGGCGACGAUGGGUAGCCGGCCUGAGAGGGUGAACGGCCACACUGGAACUGAGAAACGGUCCAGACUCCUACGGGAGGCAGCAGUGGGGAAUAUUGUGCAAUGGGGGAAACCCUGACACAGCAACGCCGCGUGAGCGAAGAAGGCCUUCGGGUUGUAAAGCUCAAUAGUAUGGGAAGAUAAUGACGGUACCAUACGAAAGCCCCGGCUAACUACGUGCCAGCCGCCGCGGUAA
This 478-nucleotide ribosomal RNA is filed under the name uncultured bacterium. RNAcentral's name for it is "partial 16S ribosomal RNA". It matches the Rfam family "Bacterial small subunit ribosomal RNA", at positions 28 to 523 of the family's 1533-position model. The record is from RNAcentral.